AGUUGGUGGAGUGAUUUGUCUGGUUAAUUCCGAUAACGAACGAGACUCUGUCCUGCUAAAUAGUGUCCGCCUCUCUUUUGGGCGGACAAUUCUUCUUAGAGGGACUGGCGACUCUUAGUCGCACGAGAUUGAGCAAUAACAGG
This 143-nucleotide ribosomal RNA is filed under the name Metazoa environmental sample. Its description in RNAcentral is "partial small subunit ribosomal RNA". It matches the Rfam family "Eukaryotic small subunit ribosomal RNA", at positions 1296 to 1460 of the family's 1831-position model. The record is from RNAcentral. Lineage: Eukaryota; Metazoa.